Molecule: ribosomal RNA, 812 nt
Filed under: uncultured bacterium
Lineage: Bacteria
Description: bacterial SSU rRNA
Rfam family: Bacterial small subunit ribosomal RNA
Source: RNAcentral
GAUUAACGCUAGCGGCAGGCCUAAUACAUGCAAGUCGAGGGGCAGCAGGGUGUAGCAAUACAUCGCUGGCGACCGGCGCACGGGUGCGUAACACGUAUGCAACCUACCUUUAACUGGGGAAUAGCCCUCCGAAAGGAGGAUUAACACCGCAUAACAUCACGAGACGGCAUCGCCUUGUGAUCAAACCUCCGGGGGUUAAAGAUGGGCAUGCGUCCGAUUAGCUAGUUGGCGGGGUAACGGCCCACCAAGGCGACGAUCGGUAGGGGGUCUGAGAGGAUGAUCCCCCACACUGGUACUGAGACACGGACCAGACUCCUACGGGAGGCAGCAGUAAGGAAUAUUGGACAAUGGUCGCAAGACUGAUCCAGCCAUGCCGCGUGCAGGAUGAACGAUCUAUGAUCUGUAAACUGCUUUUGUUCGGGAAUAAACCCCUUCACGUGUGGAGGGCUGAAUGUACCGAAAGAAUAAGGGUCGGCUAACUUCGUGCCAGCAGCCGCGGUAAGACGAAGGACCCAAGCGUUAUCCGGAUUUAUUGGGUUUAAAGGGUGCGUAGGCGGGUUGUUAGGUCAGUGGUGAAAGCCUAGAGCUUAACUCUAGAAUUGCCAUUGAUACUGACGAUCUUGAGGAUAGUUGAGGUGGGCGGAAUGUAUCAUGUAGCGGUGAAAUGCUUAGAGAUGAUACAGAACACCGAUUGCGAAGGCAGCUCACUAAGCUAUUUCUGACGCUGAGGCACGAAAGCGUGGGGAUCAAACAGGAUUAGAUACCCUGGUAGUCCACGCCGUAAACGAUAAUCACUAGAUGUUGGUUUGACA